CAGAAAUGGAGGCGGCUUCCGAGGGGGAGUCUCGAGCCAUUGCUUUCGGUGAACAGAAGGAGGCUCUCGUCGUGAGGUCAUGGAAUGCGAUGAGGAAGGAUGCAGCCGAUGUUGCACUGAAGUUCUUCUUGAGGGUCUUCGAGAUCGCACCUUCAGCCGCUCGACUCUUCUCCUUCCUGCGCGACUCCAACGUGCCGCUCGACAAGAACCCAAAGCUCAAAUCCCAUGCCAUGUCUGUGUUUACCAUGGUGUGCGAGUCUGCGACACAGCUGAGGAAGAAAGGCAAGGUUUCGGUGAGAGAGACGACGUCGAAGAAGUUGGCGGGCACUCAUCUCAAGGCUGGCGUCAUCGAUAAACAUUUCGAGGU
Molecule: long non-coding RNA, 367 nt
Organism: Musa acuminata AAA Group (dessert banana)
Lineage: Eukaryota; Viridiplantae; Streptophyta; Magnoliopsida; Zingiberales; Musaceae
Exons: 3
Source: RefSeq, a predicted model, not a curated record